This 590-nucleotide ribosomal RNA is filed under the name Aureobasidium pullulans. RNAcentral describes it as "eukaryotic LSU rRNA". It matches the Rfam family "Eukaryotic large subunit ribosomal RNA", at positions 67 to 672 of the family's 3401-position model. The record is from RNAcentral. Lineage: Eukaryota; Fungi; Ascomycota; Dothideomycetes; Dothideales; Saccotheciaceae.
CAAUGGUAUUGCCCUAGUACGGCGAGUGAAGCGGCAACAGCUCAAAUUUGAAAGCUAGCCUUCGGGUUCGCAUUGUAAUUUGUAGAGGAUGAUUUGGGGAAGCCGCCUGUCUAAGUUCCUUGGAACAGGACGUCAUAGAGGGUGAGAAUCCCGUAUGUGACAGGAAAUGGCACCCUAUGUAAAUCUCCUUCGACGAGUCGAGUUGUUUGGGAAUGCAGCUCUAAAUGGGAGGUAAAUUUCUUCUAAAGCUAAAUAUUGGCGAGAGACCGAUAGCGCACAAGUAGAGUGAUCGAAAGAUGAAAAGCACUUUGGAAAGAGAGUUAAAAAGCACGUGAAAUUGUUGAAAGGGAAGCGCUUGCAAUCAGACUUGUUUAAACUGUUCGGCCGGUCUUCUGACCGGUUUACUCAGUUUGGACAGGCCAGCAUCAGUUUCGGCGGCCGGAUAAAGGCUCUGGGAAUGUGGCCUCCACUUCGGUGGAGGUGUUAUAGCCCAGGGUGUAAUACGGCCAGCCGGGACUGAGGUCCGCGCUUCGGCUAGGAUGCUGGCGUAAUGGUUGUAAGCGACCCGUCUUGAACCACCGGACCCAAAA